GCCUGGGUGGCUCAGUCGGUUGGGCAUCUGACUUCGGCUCAGGUCGUGAUCUCACGGUCUGUGAGUUCGAGCCCCGCAUCAGGCU
Molecule: transfer RNA, 85 nt
Filed under: Felis catus (domestic cat)
Lineage: Eukaryota; Metazoa; Chordata; Mammalia; Carnivora; Felidae
Also listed under: 1 other name
Rfam family: tRNA
About the family: Transfer RNA (tRNA) molecules are approximately 80 nucleotides in length. Their secondary structure includes four short double-helical elements and three loops (D, anti-codon, and T loops).
Source: Rfam by way of RNAcentral